GUGGGGAAUCUUGCGCAAUGGGCGAAAGCCUGACGCAGCAACGCCGCGUGGGGGAUGAAGGCUCUCGGGUUGUAAACCCCUUUCAGCAGGGACGAAUCAAGACGGUACCUGCAGAAGAAGCCCCGGCUAACUACGUGCCAGCAGCCGCGGUAACACGUAGGGGGCAAGCGUUGUCCGGAUUUAUUGGGCGUAAAGAGCUCGUAGGUGGCUGAGUAAGUCGGAUGUCAAAUCCCCAGGCCCAACCUGGGAUCCCAUCCGAUACUGCUCUGGCUAGAGUCCUGUAGGGGAGCGUGGAAUUCCUGGUGUAGCGGUGAAAUGCGCAGAUAUCAGGAGGAACACCAGCGGCGAAGGCGGCGCUCUGGGCCGGUACUGACACUGAGGAGCGAAAGCGUGGGUAGCAAACAGGAUUAGAAACCCUAGUAGUCC
Molecule: ribosomal RNA, 426 nt
Filed under: uncultured bacterium
Lineage: Bacteria
Description: bacterial SSU rRNA
Rfam family: Bacterial small subunit ribosomal RNA
Source: RNAcentral